Molecule: long non-coding RNA, 626 nt
Filed under: Gallus gallus (chicken)
Lineage: Eukaryota; Metazoa; Chordata; Aves; Galliformes; Phasianidae
Description: long non-coding RNA NONGGAT002286
Source: RNAcentral
CGCGCAGGCGCGGAGCGAGAGGAAGAUGGCGGCCCCCCUGGACUUGGAGCUGAAGAAGGCCUUCACGGAGCUGCAGGCCAAGGUGAUCGACACGCAGCAGAAGGUGAAGCUCGCCGACAUCCAGAUCGAGCAGCUGAGCAAGACCAAGAAGCACGCGCACCUCACUGACACCGAGAUCAUGACGCUGGUGGACGAGACCCGCAUGUACGAGGGCGUGGGCAGGAUGUUUAUUCUUCAGUCUAAAGGAGUCAUUCAUAAUCAGCUUUUAGAAAAGCAGAGAAUAGCAGAAGAGAAAAUUAAGGAAUUAGAGUUAAUUUAGCAGACCCCUUAUAGCUCUGUUGUUGAUACAGCCCAGCAACUCUGAGGAGGUUUCAGAGGGAACAAAAUUCAGUCUGUGUGACCACUGCCCAGCCAGAAAGCAGAAGAAGUCGUACCUGGAACGGAGCGUGAAGGAAGCAGAAGAUAACAUUAGGGAGAUGCUGAUGGCCCGGAGGGCACAGUAGAUGCGAUUUCCUGUUGGGCCAUGGAUGGACCUGUGCCGCCCUCUGGGUGAUGCUGGCAGCUCUGCUGUGAUGGCUGUUACCUGGCAGAUCUAAUAAACCCUGCUGCAAAGCCCAUGUCAGCUC